This 503-nucleotide ribosomal RNA is filed under the name uncultured bacterium. RNAcentral describes it as "partial 16S ribosomal RNA". It matches the Rfam family "Bacterial small subunit ribosomal RNA", at positions 30 to 523 of the family's 1533-position model. The record is from RNAcentral.
AUUGAACGCUGGCGGCAGGCUUAACACAUGCAAGUCGAGCGGGGUGAUGGUGCUUGCACUAUCACUUAGCGGCGGACGGGUGAGUAAUGCUUAGGAAUCUGCCUAUUAGUGGGGGACAACAUCUCGAAAGGGAUGCUAAUACCGCAUACGUCCUACGGGAGAAAGCAGGGGAUCACUUGUGACCUUGCGCUAAUAGAUGAGCCUAAGUCGGAUUAGGUAGUUGGUGGGGUAAAGGCCUACCAAGGCGACGAUCUGUAGCGGGUCUGAGAGGAUGAUCAGACACACUGGGACUGAGACACGGACCAGACUCCUACGGGAGGCAGCAGUGGGGAAUAUUGGACAAUGGGGGGAACCCUGAUCCAGCCAUGCCGCGUGUGUGAAGAAGGCCUUAUGGUUGUAAAGCACUUUAAGCGAGGAGGAGGCUCUUUUGGUUAAUACCCAAGAUGAGUGGACGUUACUCGCAGAAUAAGCACCGGCUAACUCUGUGCCAGCCGCCGCAGUAA